This 3422-nucleotide long non-coding RNA is filed under the name Manihot esculenta (cassava). RNAcentral describes it as "long non-coding RNA (MESC_LNC000522)". The record is from RNAcentral. Lineage: Eukaryota; Viridiplantae; Streptophyta; Magnoliopsida; Malpighiales; Euphorbiaceae.
GAAUUCUUGCAGCUGAAAAGGACAGCUAUGGUUUAAUUAUAAACACUUUUGAAGAGUUGGAGGCACCAUUCCUCCAACAAUACAAGAAAGCAGGGCAAUAUAAUAGAAUUUGGUGUGUUGGUCCCGUUUCGCAGUGCAACAAAGACACCUUGGACAAAGCUGAACGAGGUAAUGAGACAUGUAUCAAAGGACAUGAAUGUUUAAGGUGGCUCGACUCCUGGCAACCAGGAUCUGUAGUUUAUGCCUGUCUUGGAAGUCUUCCCAAUAUACCAACUUCACAAUUUACAGAGCUGGGCUUGGGCUUAGAGGCAUCCAACAGACCAUUUAUUUGGGUUGUAAGGGGAGGAGAAAGAUCAAAAGAAAUAGAGAAGUGGAUUUCAGAGACGGGAUUUGAAGAGAGAACCAAAGGAAGAGGUCUUGUGAUGUGCGGUUGGGCACCACAGGUGAUGAUACUGUCACACCCUGCAAUCGGAGGUUUCUUAACACAUUGUGGUUGGAAUUCAACACUAGAAGCAAUAAGUAGUGGCGUGCCUGUAAUCACAUGGCCACUCUUUGCAGACCAAUUUUGUAAUGAGAAGUUAGCAGUGCAGGUACUGAAGAUAGGCGUCAGAGUUGGAGUGGAGGUUCCUGAGAGGGGAGUGGAGGAAGGGCAGAAUGGUGUAUUGGUGAAAAAGGAAGAUGUUGAGAAGGCGUUGAAUGAUUUGAUGAAAGAAGGAGAGGAAAGGGAAGAGAGAAGAAGAAGAGUUAAAGAGCUUGCAGAGAUGGCAAAGAAAGCAACUGAGGAAGGAGGUUCUUCUUGUCUCAACAUCAAACUUCUAAUCCAAGAUAUCAUGCAGCACGUAAAUGAAGAAGCAUCGCCUCCUCCAAUUAAAUAUCCAGAAAAUUCCUAAAGUCCCUAGAAAAAUGUGGUGCUCUCUUCAAGAAGCUUCAACAAGUUUCUUCAUCCGUGCAAUUCUCAUCACCGGCGUAUGCAGAAACUACUGUACCAACUGCUAGUGAGAAUGAAGGGAACACUCGAGUGUGUGAGUGGAUUGUGUUUGAGUGGUGACAAUGUGUGCACGUGAAAACAUUUGUAUACAAUCGGUUACCGUAACAGCCCGAAACCGAACUGCUACCGGCACUAGGAUUCAGAUCGAUUUAAGGUCGCCGGAACCGUAGUAAGCCUGCUAUCCUGUUUGUGUACCUGUGAAAUCUCAUACAUGAUCAUUCUUGUUCUGUCAAACUAUUAAAACUGUUCUGAUACAUGAUCAUUCUUAUUCUGUCAAAUUAUUAAAACUGUUAUGUCCUCCAAGACUUAACUUGUGCAUGCACUGUUUGAAAAAUCUAAACACUUUCGUUUUUUUCCAAUUUAUUCCAAUUUAAUGCAAAACUUUAAAUGGUAAUAAAAUUAUUCAAAAUUUUAAAUUUUGUUACAAUCAUAUUCAAACUUAAAAUUUAAAUUGAGAUAGUGUAUUUUGUUAUAUUAAUUCAUUUUUAUAUAAAGUUGUACUCUCAAUAGUUUUAAAAUUAUAUUAUAUAAUAAAUAUAAUUAAUAAAAUUUUAUAAAUUAUACUUUUAUUAAAUAAUGAUCAAUAUUUAGAUAUAUAUAGAAAGUGCAAGAUCAUUACUUAGAUUCUUAAUAUUUAGAAAAUACUUUUAUCUUUAAAUAAUGCAUACUCUGCUUCCACGUAACUUGAACUGAAGUUAGGCUGGCUGAAAAGAGGAUAAGCAUUCGAACAGAGUUGUUCUAGAUUUUGAGCUCACGGAUAGAGCAAGAAUGAUUGCAUCACUGCUGAGCUAUUUCAUUUUGGCUGCUUCUGCAGAAUGGACAUAUACAGAUUUAAAAUCUCUUCUACUGAAUGAUUGAAGGUCAUGGAGAUUUCAAUCAUAAAACACUUUGAUAAGACUCACCAUAACAUUUCUGGAAUGAAAUUGUCUGCAAAUUCCAUCCACAUAAUCUGUUUCUGCCUGUGACCACGUAGACCUCUCUGUGCAUCCACAUAAUAUUCUAUCACUAAAGUUGUGAACCACGCCAAACAAAAAUUGGCUCGUCUUGGGCUCCUAAAACAUCAGCAAGGCCUAGUUAUCCAGCAAUUUUAAAUACGAUUACGUUUGUAUCAUAAUGAUCAUUACCCAUUUCACAUGAUUUCAUAGAAUAGAUGGAGCUCUAUUAUAUAAUUUUUAUUCACUUUCUCCAUUAUAUAAUUAUUAUAUAAUUUUAAUUUUUAUUCACUUUACUUAUAUAUAUAUACUAAAAAAUUUAAUUUUUUAAUUAUAUUAUUUUAAAUAUAUUAAAUUUUAUUAAAUAUUAAAAAAUAUUUUUAAAAAAAUUCUUAAAAAUAAAAUAAAAUAAAAUAAUAAUUUAGAGACAAUAAUAAAAAAUAAAUAAAUAAAAAUUAUAGAAAGGCGGAAUAAUAAAUAAUUAAUCAAUAUGUAUCCUAUUAAUACAAUAUAAAUAGAAGAUGAGGAAACAAAAUAACCCAUCUCUCCCAGCUGGCUCUUCUUUUUUCUCUCUUCUUUUUAUCAUUCUUCCAUUGCCAUGCCUUCCCAAACCCAACAGCUUCACUUUGUGUUGUUUCCUCUUAUGGCCCAAGGCCAUAUGAUUCCCAUGAUAGACAUCGCAAGACUAUUAGCACAGCAUGGCGUGAUGAUCAGUAUAGUCACCACACCUCUCAAUGCUGCUAGAUUUAAAACAGUUCUUGCUCGUGCUGUAAAAUCUGGACUCAAAAUCCAGGUUUUUGAGCUCCAGUUUCCGUCCGAAAUUGCAGGCUUGCCAGAAGGGUGUGAGAAUUUUGACAUGCUGCCUUCACUGGAAAUGGGCAAACAAAUGUUCACAGCGAUUAUCGAGCUUGAAAAGCAAGCAGAUAAAUUGCUUGAAGAGCUAAUCCCUCAGCCAAGCUGUAUAAUCUCCGAUAUGUGUUUUCCAUGGACUGUUAGAGUUGCUAGCAAAUGGAAAGUUCCAAGGAUUUCUUUCAUUGGUUUUAGCUGCUUUUGCAUGUUGUGCUGCCACAACACGCGUGUUUCCAAGGUUCUAGAGAACAUAACCUCGGAAUCAGAAUAUUUCGCUGUUCCAGGCUUGCCUGAUAGUAUUAAAUUCACCAAAGCACAGAUGGCCUCUCUUGUGAAAUCGGAUGAAUUCGUCAAUCGAAUGAUUGCAGCUGAAAAGGACAGCUAUGGUAUAAUUAUAAACACUUUCGAAGAGUUGGAGGCGCCAUUCUUCCAACAAUACAAGAAAGCAGGGCAAUAUAAUAGAAUUUGGUGUGUUGGUCCUGUUUCGCAGUGCAACAAAGACACCUUGGACAAAGCUGAACGAGGUAAUGAGACAUGUAUCAAAGGACAUGAAUGUUUAAGGUGGCUCGACUCCUGGCAAACAGGAUCUGUAGUUUAUGCCUGUCUUGGAAGCCUUCCAAAUAUACCAACUUCACAACUGAUAGAGCUGGGCU